Plutella xylostella (diamondback moth) is the source of this 403-nucleotide non-coding RNA. The record is from RefSeq and is a predicted model, not a curated record. NCBI's taxonomy places the organism in Eukaryota, Metazoa, Arthropoda, Insecta, Lepidoptera, Plutellidae.
GGGAUUGCAUCUAUGGAUUUAACAUUCCAUCACUGACAGCUGUCUUAAGUGUCAUCUGAGGAUAAUCAAUCGUUCAUUGAAAAAACGUCAAAAAACGGAACCAUGGCGGGGCCACCGUCGACUAAAAUAUAAUGCGAAAUCCAAGAAAUUGAAGCAGAUUUAUCUAUGUCAGACAUAGAUCUCUCGGAGGACGACGACAUGACGACAUAAAUGACUCACCAUGAACCCGUAGAAUUUGAAUUUUGUGAUGAUGAUAUCCAGGAGCUGCUAGCUGAGCCUUUCAUUUUAUCUUAUUUUGUUCCUAUAUUGAUCCCAAUAAUUAUAAUAGUUGAUAAGUGUGAGUUUAUCUAGAAUAAAUAUAAGUUCUAAACUUAUGUGAGACUGAUUUAAAGUGUUAAAUGUG